CGCGCGCGAACAGCAAGACAGAGUUUUCUCUCACGAGAGAGAGAGAGAGGCAGGGGGGUUAAUCCCCUCUCUCUUUUCUUUUUUUUCUAACGCACAAAUUUGACAAACUCUUCCUUCUUCCAUCCACCCUUCGUGUUCGGAACGAGAAACGUUUUGUUGGGGAAUCUUCUGCUUUGAUUUUUCGCCAUGCCCCUGGGAUGGUGGUUGAGGGGUGACGUCCUGCGAGGACCAUCCUUCUGGAAGAAAUAGCCAGGGAGGAGGACCUGCACCCCUCAGGCAGGUGUCUUCCCGACUCGAGAAAGCAAGCGAGUGAAGACGUGGGAAGAAGAAAGAUCGCGCCAAAAGGAAGAUCCCCAUGAACUCGUUCGCCCACCGGCCGCGGCUCCGACGAAAAGUGAAGCACAUACUCAUUGCCACUAUGCUCUGCUGCGGAAAGAGAAAGGAGCCUCGCGGCGAGCCCGUGGAGGCCUUGACGGAGGAAGGGUUGGCGGUGCGUCGUCUGCUGCAGCGGCACCCCCGCCCCGCCUCCGGCAUCGUGGUGGGCAGGGACUUCCGGAAAGUCAGCGGAAUCAGCUCGGAGGUGUUUCGUCAGUUGGAGGCCAUGGAGAACGACCUGUGUGACGCUGCGACAGCCGCCCGCCUCGAGACGGUGUCCCGCCGUGGCGGGGAAAUGCUGAUCCGCAUGUUCGAUCCGAUCCAGCUGGGGCGGGCCGGGGCCGACGCAUACCGAGAGUACAUGGAACAGGCCGACGCCACACACGUCGUCCGGUUCGUAGAGAUCAUCAAGCGGCCCGGGCAGACACUUGGCCUGUACAUCCGGGAAGGAGACGGCUUGGGGGCGACGGAGGGCGUGUUCAUCUCCCGCAUCGCCCUCGAGUCGGCGGUGUACAACAGCGGGCUGCUGCGCGUGGGCGAUGAGAUCCUCUCUGUCAACUUGGUGAACGUGCAGCGCAUGGGGCUCGACGACGUCGUCAUCAUCAUGUCGAUCCCGAGGCGGCUGGUGCUGGCCAUCCGGUCGCGCAUCCACAGCGGGGGGCAGCGCAUCCGGGAGCUUACGAGGAAGCCACAAGAAGGGAGGCCCCCCGUCGUCGUCAUCAAAAAGGACACGACGGAGGAAACUUCGAAUGGUGAGAACAGCGAGAACGGAGUGUUGAUCCGGGCUCGAACGAAGGGGCUGCCUCCCGAAGUACCGGCCAUCGCCGUAAAAUUAUCAGAGCGUGACCAUCGAAGAGAAAGGACCCGCUACGAGCAACCCCAUCCGAGAGAGGAACAUCCACAGCCACCACAGAGCUCGCUCUAUUACAACUCGCAGCCAAAGAUCGCCCACCACCACAGGCCCUACCACCAGGCGCCACCUUCUCACCAACAGUACACAGCUACACAGCGAAGGAGGGAGGAGCCGCCUCAGACGACCAGGUGGGUGGUGACGGAACAGCCAACGAAAGUGUCGCCUUACCAAGAAGAGCGUGAGAUCCCGGACGUCUCCGAGUACUACAUAGAGGACAGGACGCACCACCGCGACAGAUACGAGCCCCACCACAGGAGGACGCGCAGCAUGGUGCCCCCCACCAGGGGCGGCGCCUACGAACUGGGCCCCACCGCCCCUCUGCGUCGCUCCACGGGCAUGCUGCGCACCGAGAGCGAGUACCGGAUGCGGCCCUCCAUGCAAGGGCGGCGCUUCGGCAUCCUGCGGCGCGGGGCCGGCGCCACCCACAGCUUCGAGAGUGCCUCGGACACCGAGGCGCAUGCGCAGGAGCCGGGCUGGGCCCGCCGCGUCCCCUACGGCUCGCGAAGCCAUUCACUGCCCCGCUCCUUGAGGAGCGGACCGGACCGACGGCAAGCCGCGGUCCGCUUCACCACCGCCCUGCCUUACGACUCCCAGGAGGAGAGUGACGGAGCAGUCUCGGCCCCGGAACUCCCCGCCACCAGGAGGCCCCCUCCCCCUGUGGGUCGUCGUUCAUCACCGAGUGUGUUCACUUCCAACGAGUACCGGGCCUGGAUGAGCAGGGCCCCCUCGACCUCGGCCCUCUACGAGCGACUGCGGAGGACGCGCCCCCAACCGGGGAGGAUCGCCUACAGCGCAGAGUCGCUCCUCGACUCCGUUAGACAGGAGGAGGGCCGUUCUAAUCUGGUGUAUACAUUCCCCCGCCUCCACACUCCUAGCGAGGAUUCACUGCCAGCGGGGGGAUAUCACCCUGCCCCACCCCCCAAGCCACAUGACCAAAGACUCCACCUGCUCAGCUUAGACCCUAGGGACUUCAACAAGUACCGGCCGCGCCCCAUCACGACUCCCGUUUGCAGUUUGGGCCCUUCCACUGGGGCAGCGCCUAAAGGUUUCAGUGGUCUACUGUGGAUCCACUUGUUGUCGGGCCGGGGCCUGCGCGGAGGGGGCCAUGGGGCCUCGUUCCGCGAUCUGUACUGCGUGAUCGAAUGCGACCGCCAGCAUCGGGCACGAACUGUCAUCCGCACCGGCGACCACUCCUUCGACUGGGAUGAAGUCUUCGAGCUCGAUCUCGUCGAAGCGCGGGAACUCUCUUUCCUACUCUACACAUGGGACCCGAGGUUCCGCCAUAAGUUGUGCUACAAGGGUACUCUCCACUUGGGGGCCCUCUUGCGCGAAAGCCCUGCCCACAGUCUGGCUCUGAAGAUGGAGCCUCGAGGUACGUUGUACCUGAAAUUGCGAUACAAAGGGCCACAGCAGUGUUUCCAGAGGUUGCCGGCCCACGCUCCACACGCUCAACUGUUUGGGGUGGAUCUGGAGGCGGUGCUCGUCAGAGAAGACUCAGGAUACGGAGUACCCCUUAUUGUCAAGAGGUGCACGGAGGAGGUUGAAAGGCGUGGCCUGGACAUAGUAGGUAUAUAUAGGUUAUGUGGCUCUGCCCUCCGGAAAAGGCUACUACGGGAAGAAUUCGAAAGAAGUUCCGCUCAAGCAGAUCUUUCCGUUGAACACGUGCCAGACAUUAACGUUGUAACAAGCCUCCUAAAAGACUACCUCCGAGAACUGCCCGAGCCUCUGUUGAGCAGAGGCCUCCACGAGAUGCUGUGCGAUGGUCUUAGUGUCUGUCUGCCAGAAGAUCCGGAGGGGAACGCCAAGCUUAUGUUCAGUAUCCUAGAGUGCCUGCCGAAGGCUAAUCUGUGCACGGUUUUGCUGCUGUUAGACCACCUGCGUCUGAUCUGCAGCCACGGGGACCGCAACAAGAUGACCCCUCUUGGGUUGGCCACCGUCUUCGGUCCUCCCCUCAUGUGCCACGCCGAAACCACCGGGGAGGAAGUCGAUAUCCGGCGUCCAAUAGACGUCCUACACUUCCUUGUAGAGAUGUGGCCCUGCAAGAGGAGCCCCAGGCUCUGGUACGACGCCACCUCUGGCGAAGUCUACCGAAUGUAGAUCACUGCCUGGCCCUCUGGUGAGAUGUUCCUCAACUAACGGAACCCCGCCUCAACCACAGGUUGGGCCUUUCGUCCUGGUCGAGCAGCGGCAGCAGUUGGGAGAGCAGCCUCUCGGACCUCCUGGUAGAAUGGCUGACUCCACGCUGAGCCCCUGAAAGUGCGUGCCAUAGAGGAUCAACAUACACAGAAAACUCAACUGAAACCUUACCCAUUGAACUGUUGACUCCGCCCCCAUGGGAGGAGGCCACGCCCGCGGAGGCGCGUCGAUUCUCAUCGGGGGAAGGAACUCAUUUGUUACAUGAAUCCUUUAUUACCCCCUCUUCCUAGUUGGACGUGUCAUUUGUUUGAUAUUAAAUAAUAAAGAGAAAAAGUAU
Molecule: RNA transcript, 3761 nt
Organism: Uloborus diversus
Lineage: Eukaryota; Metazoa; Arthropoda; Arachnida; Araneae; Uloboridae
Gene name: rho GTPase-activating protein 100F-like
Exons: 16
Source: RefSeq, a predicted model, not a curated record